This 301-nucleotide ribosomal RNA is filed under the name uncultured bacterium. RNAcentral describes it as "partial 16S ribosomal RNA". It matches the Rfam family "Bacterial small subunit ribosomal RNA", at positions 509 to 808 of the family's 1533-position model. The record is from RNAcentral.
CAGCCGCCGCGGGAAUACGUAGGGUGCAAGCGUUAAUCGGAAUUACUGGGCGUAAAGCGUGCGCAGGCGGUUCGUUAAGACAGAUGUGAAAUCCCCGGGCUUAACCUGGGAACUGCAUUUGUGACUGGCGGGCUAGAGUAUGGCAGAGGGGGGGCAGAAUUCCACGUGUAGCAGUGAAAUGCGUAGAGAUGUGGGGGAAUACCGAUGGCGAAGGCAGCCCCCUGGGCCAAUACUGACGCUCAUGCACGAAAGCGUGGGGAGCAAACAGGAUUAGAUACCCGAGUAGUCCCUGUCUCUUAUU